Molecule: ribosomal RNA, 326 nt
Filed under: uncultured eukaryote
Lineage: Eukaryota
Description: partial 18S ribosomal RNA
Rfam family: Eukaryotic small subunit ribosomal RNA
Source: RNAcentral
CCCUUAGAUGUUCUGGGCCGCACGCGCGCUACACUGAUGCAUUCAACAAGCCUAGCCUUGACCGAGAGGUCCGGGUAAUCUUUGAAACUGCAUCGUGAUGGGGCUAGAUUAUUGCAAUUAUUAAUCUUCAACGUGGAAUGCCUAGUAAGCGUGAUUCAUCAAAUCGCGUUGAUUACGUCCCUGCCCUUUGUACACACCGCCCGUCGCUCCUACCGAUUGAAUGUGUUGGUGAGGAGCUCGGAUUGGCAGCAGUUGGUGGUUCGCCACCGGCUAUUGCUGAGAAGUCCUCCAAACCGCCCCAUUUAGAGGAAGGAGAAGUCGUAACA